Long non-coding RNA from Coffea arabica (coffee), 3544 nucleotides. RefSeq lists it as uncharacterized. The record is from RefSeq and is a predicted model, not a curated record. Lineage: Eukaryota; Viridiplantae; Streptophyta; Magnoliopsida; Gentianales; Rubiaceae.
UUGGGCGGUCAGCAACAUCCUUUCUUUUCUCUUAGCUUUCUUCUUCUUCUUAGCUUCUAUUCUUCUUCUUAGUUUUCUUUGGUAGCUUCAGAAAUGUCUUGAAAAGUUCCUCUCAUUCUCGGUCUUGUUUCCUCUGUUUCUUUUCUUGGCCUUUUUUACCAGGCGUGAUUUGAGGAACGAUGGAACCACCACCGCUUGAAAGCUCUGCAAUCUCCAUUGCCCUUUCUCGUUCAUCUCUUGGCCUUCUCUACCAGUUUUUUUCACUCAUCAGCUUCCUAUUUAAUUGUUCCCUUCAACGCGUCUUCCUCCAUAAUCUUAUCUAGAAAUCUACAGCAGAAUGCCUCUAUAUUUUUCCUGCACGCACAACAAAAAGAAAGUGGAAAAGAGGGCGACGAAGGAGGAGAGCUCCUUCCAUCGGCAUUAGAGGGAGAUUUACAGUUGCAUGGGACAUUGGAAACCACAAGGCUUCGAUUGGAGUUCAAAGAUAAAUAGGAAUUUUGGCGGUCGGCAAUUUCCUCUCAUCCUCUUCUUCGUUCUAUUCUUGGUUUUAGGAGCACCGCUUCAGAGUUUUGGCAGCUGCUACUUUUUCUUAUUCUUUUGUCGGUCUUGUUUCUUCGUUGUCGGUCUUGUUUCUUCGCCUUCUUUACCAGGUGUGUCUUUCCCGUUCCUCGCUCUUCUUCUGAGCUUUCUCUGGCCAGUGUUUUUUCCUUCCCCUGUUUUCCUAUUGAAUUUUCUACUAGAUUGCAGAUAAUUCAGUCGAGGAAGAAGCGGUUGAAUUGCGCAUAAGUUUGCGCAUCGGUGCAUAGGUGUAACUAUUACUUUUUUUUUUAUUGGGAUUUGUUUCUGGUUUGUUAAGUUGUGUUUUUCAUCGGGGAUUUGUUUCUGGUUUACUUGUUCUUCUUUGGCUGGAUUAGAUGUUAGAUUUAUUAUAUUCAAUUAAAUGUUAAAUUGUGUUUUUCAUUCCUUUUCUUCCGCAUGGAAUUCUUGGAUGGGAGCAAUUUUGGCAGUCAGCAAUUUCGGCCUUGUUUCCUCUCUGUCUUUUCUUGGCUUUCUUUACCAGGUGUGCCCUGUUCUCUCACCAUCGAAGUACACUGAUACAAUCGCCGCCCUUUCAAUCACCUACUGAGAGAUGACGCAUUCCAGUUGAACACUCUCAAGGCACGCAUGAAAUAAUCAACCGGAUAGCUUUGCUUUUUCUUGCUGCUCUCUCUAAGUUGCUCUACACACUUUUCCAAACCCUCUGCCAAUCCUCUCUUAUGAGGGCUGCUUGAAGGUGGGUAAAAAUAUUUUGCUGGCACCAGGUGAAGUUAAUUCUUGAGGCUUUAGCUUAUUUCCUUCCUAGCCUGUUUUUUGCCCCAAAAAUUUUGCCAAAUUUGAAACCCAACCAUAGCUAAAGUUGAUAAGUUGAUUAAACUUAAUAACCGUCUUAUUGUUUAGGGAUGAAAUUGAUUUGUACCGUGACCUUUGUUAUGUUUGGAUUAUUUAUUCUAUUUCCAAAUUUUUUUUAUUCUUUUCAAUAUGAUUUAAUAGAAAGCUUCAGUCAUGGGUUCGGCCUAAUUUUUUCAAAUUUUGAUCACUAGAAUUACGGUUUACUUAGUUUUAAGUUUCCUAACAAAUUUCUUGUAUUAUCUAAGAAUUUAAGUAAAACUCAUCUCCAGUAUCUCUGAUACUUCCAAGUGUGGUGUUAUUCAGCUCAAUAGUGGCUUCGCUCAAACUCCUCAGAUGAGGUACAAGUUACAUUCAUAGUAUCAUCCUUUCUGGAAUGCUUUUUUGUCUCUAUCUAGCUAUUGAUAUUGGUGGGAAGUCUGUCUAUUGAAAUAUGGGAAUGUAUCUAUAGUGUUGCUGGGAGACCAUACGGAACAUUUAUAAUAGGGCAUUUUCCUUUGUUCAAAUUUUGAUAGAUAACUAGCUGAACUUCCUAAUUACUUCUCUGUUGGUUUCACUUUGUACACUCGGGUCUUCAUGGAAAAAUCUUUCUCAAUACAAAAGGGGAUAUAGCAUAUAUAGGUACAUGCACAUGUCUGUUUGUGAGGGCAGGGGGAAGGCAUGCAUGUGUGUGUGUAGGAUGUUGGUGCGAUUGAUGUGUGGUGUACACCUGAUUUCUUGAUCUUUAAUGCAUUUUCCUAUUAAUCAUGAGAAAAGAUGUCAAAAAAUAGCAAUUGUUUGUGUAGAUCUUAUCUGACAUAUGUGAAGGAACUUAUGAUUUCUAAUGCCUUUGGUAACUUGAUAUUUCUAAAUAGGAUCAUAUUUACAUGGAAUGCCAAAUAAAGGUAGUAGUUUUAUUGCACUCUGGUAUGAUUUGGGCUUCGUGGCCAUUCUGUUAUGAAUGUUUACUGCAACAAUUAAGAUCAUAAUGCUUUUAACAUUCUGCAGAUUUACAGCAUAACAGCUUACUUGCCAACUAGGAUCAAUCCUGCUACUACCACCAAAGCAUGCAAUUCAUCGCCAGCUUCAAAAUUGCUUAUUUUAGAGAAGUAACGUCACUAAUAAGCAAGGCUACACAGUACAUGUAUAGCCUGAUGCCUUUUAGUUUUACCUAAUCUUAGGCAUUACUUACCGAUUAAUGCUACAUUAAGAAUGUUAAAUGCCACGUUAAGAAUGUUAGAUAAUCAUGCCUUUUAGUUCUGCCUAAUUUUAGACAUUGCUUACUGAUUAAUGCUACAUUAAGAAUGUUAGAUAACCCGAUUUUAAGGUCAUGUUUAUCUGUGCAAUUAGGAAAAAAAACACACACACACACACAUGUCUACUCUAUCUAACGAAGAAAAAAAACACACAAAUAUAACAGCAAAAUAACGAGUCUUAGCUACCUGAUGCAUGGCAUCAGGGCUUAAAAACUAGUAAAAGAAUAAAAGCGGGAAUGGAGUUAGGAACAGUGACUUUCGUCCCCAUUGGCACCUUGGCUGUGUGAUCAUUUUUGGAAUUUCACAGCAAAGGCUAAAGUGAUGGUGAGGUCCUGAUGAAGGAUCGGUCGGCUGGGAUUUGAUAUUGUGAUGGCGUUUUACUAUCCUACCCCUUGGUACCUAUUUUGCCCCUUUAUGAGGAAUGCCAACAUAGUAUGAGUUAUUGACUUUUUCGUCAUUUCAGCCCAUUAAUUACUCGACAAUUGGGAUUCAAGUGCUAAUGGUGCGCCCCCUCCAAAAAAGGAAAAAGUACUAAUGGUGUGGUGCAAUAGUGCUUUGUUGUGAGGCUUCUUCUGCUCGGUUUGAUCAUGGUUCAAAAACCUACACAUCACCAGUAAUCAUAAAAGAAAUAGAGCGGUGUUCGGCAUUUGGCCAUUGUCUUCUGCUGCGGAAUUCUAUCAAUGAGCUGUGCACUAUUGCAGUAAAUGCAAUUGAAAUUCCUCCUAAAGUCGCAGAAUCAGUUCAUAAAAAUUCGAUGGUAAACCAAUUUUCUGUACAUUGCGAACAACAGAGUGAAUAAAUAGCAUAUGCUUAGAUUGAAAGGCCAUGUAUCUUUACAAUGUGGCAACAAUUUUCCGGAUUGAAAGGAAAAAUAUCUGCUAAACAUCUUGAUUGAAUAGCCAUCAAUGAUAGUUACCAGUGCC